Molecule: ribosomal RNA, 1838 nt
Filed under: Acinetobacter sp. YT-02
Lineage: Bacteria; Pseudomonadati; Pseudomonadota; Gammaproteobacteria; Moraxellales; Moraxellaceae
Description: bacterial LSU rRNA
Rfam family: Bacterial large subunit ribosomal RNA
Source: RNAcentral
GUUGUAUAGUCAAGUAAUUAAGUGCAUGUGGUGGAUGCCUUGGCAGUCAGAGGCGAAGAAAGACGUGAUAGCCUGCGAAAAGCUCCGGGGAGGCGGCAAAUAUCCUUUGAUCCGGAGAUGUCUGAAUGGGGAAACCCACCUACCUUAAGGUAGGUAUCGUAUGAUGAAUACAUAGUCAUACGAAGCGAACGAGGGGAAGUGAAACAUCUCAGUACCCGUAGGAAAAGAAAUCAAUUGAGAUUCCCUCAGUAGCGGCGAGCGAAAGGGGAAAAGCCCAUUAAGUUAUGUGUGUUUUAGUGGAAUGCUCUGGGAAGUGCAACCAUAGUGGGUGAUAGUCCUGUACACGAAAGGGCACACAUAAUGAUGACGAGUAGGGCGAGGCACGUGAAACCUUGUCUGAAUAUGGGGGGACCAUCCUCCAAGGCUAAAUACUCCUGACUGACCGAUAGUGAACCAGUACCGUGAGGGAAAGGCGAAAAGAACCCCUGUGAGGGGAGUGAAAUAGAUCCUGAAACCGCAUGCAUACAAGCAGUGGGAGCCAACUUGUUUGGUGACUGCGUACCUUUUGUAUAAUGGGUCAGCGACUUAUAUUCAGUAGCAAGGUUAACCGAAUAGGGGAGCCGUAGAGAAAUCGAGUCUUAAUAGGGCGUAUAGUUGCUGGGUAUAGACCCGAAACCGGGUGAUCUAUCCAUGAGCAGGUUGAAGGUUGGGUAACACUAACUGGAGGACCGAACCCACUGUCGUUGAAAAGCCAGGGGAUGACUUGUGGAUAGGGGUGAAAGGCUAAUCAAACUCGGUGAUAGCUGGUUCUCCCCGAAAGCUAUUUAGGUAGCGCCUCGGACGAAUACCAUUGGGGGUAGAGCACUGUUUCGGCUAGGGGGUCAUCCCGACUUACCAAACCGAUGCAAACUCCGAAUACCAAUGAGUACUAUCCGGGAGACAGACUGCGGGUGCUAACGUCCGUAGUCAAGAGGAAAACAAUCCAGACCGCCAGCUAAGGCCCCAAAAUCAUAGUUAAGUGGGAAACGAUGUGGGAAGGCAUAGACAGCUAGGAGGUUGGCUUAGAAGCAGCCACCCUUUAAAGAAAGCGUAAUAGCUCACUAGUCGAGUCGGCCUGCGCGGAAGAUGUAACGGGGCUAAAACUAUGUGCCGAAGCUGCGGAUGCAUAAUUUAUUAUGCGUGGUAGGGGAGCGUUCUGUAAGCCGAAGAAGGUGGAUUGAGAAGUCUGCUGGAGGUAUCAGAAGUGCGAAUGCUGACGUGAGUAACGACAAAACGGGUGAAAAACCCGUUCGCUGAAAGACCAAGGGUUCCAGUCCAACGUUAAUCGGGGCUGGGUGAGUCGACCCCUAAGGCGAGGCCGAGAGGCGUAGUCGAUGGGAAAUUGGUUAAUAUUCCAAUACUUCAGUGUAAUGCGAUGAGAGGACGGAGAAGGUUAAGUCAGCCUGGCGUUGGUAGUCCAGGUGAAAGGAAGUAGGCAUGCAUCUUAGGCAAAUCCGGGGUGCUCUAUGCUGAGAUCUGAUAUCAAGCUGUACUUGUACAGUGAAGUGGCUGAUACCCUGCUUCCAGGAAAAGUCUCUAAGCUUCAGUUACACUGGAAUCGUACCCGAAACCGACACAGGUGGUCAGGUCGAGUAGACCAAAGCGCUUGAGAGAACUCUGCUGAAGGAACUAGGCAAAAUGGUACCGUAACUUCGGGAGAAGGUACGCUGUUGAUGGUGAUAGGACUCGCUCCUUGAGCUGUCGACAGCCUCAGAAACCAGGCCGCUGCAACUGUUUAUUAAAAACAUAGCACUCUGCAAACACGAAAGUGGACGUAUAGGGUGUGAUGCCUGCCCGGU